GUGUGGUUCAGUACCGUUUCCUUGGCUAAAGGAAAGAUUUUUAACAUUCCUUUACAAUCUCACAGCAUUUUCUUAAGGAACUCGGAUGAGCUUCACUUGUCUUGUGUCACCUUCCCACUGAUGGACCAUUCUACACUUCACUCAACUUACCAAAAGAGGCACUACCUUUGAAGUCCUCUCCAACCAGUGCAAAGGAUUAUGGCCUGCCUAGGGGAGAGGGAAACCAAACGGUUUGCCU
RNAcentral lists this long non-coding RNA (238 nucleotides) under Chrysemys picta bellii (western painted turtle). RNAcentral's name for it is "lncRNA (ENSCPBG00000025580.1)". Lineage: Eukaryota; Metazoa; Chordata; Testudines; Emydidae. The record is from RNAcentral.